Molecule: long non-coding RNA, 852 nt
Organism: Girardinichthys multiradiatus
Lineage: Eukaryota; Metazoa; Chordata; Actinopteri; Cyprinodontiformes; Goodeidae
Exons: 2
Source: RefSeq, a predicted model, not a curated record
GGCUUUUCAGUCAAGUCCGGAUCGUGGUGUGGUGGAGUUGGGAGAGGCAGUCUAUCGGAGCCGAUGGUGGAGCUGAAAGGCUCAGGUCAGCCUGAAAAAGGAGAGAAAAAUGGAGGCAGGAGGCUUUCUUUUCUCCUAUCAUCCAUCCAUCUGUUGUCUAUACCUGCUUAUCUUUGAAGGGAUGUUGGAUCCUACCUCCAGCAGUCAUUAAAUGAGAGACGAGGAACACCUUGGACUUGGGGCCAGUUCAUCACAGAGACACACAAGACAAACAUUAACCUAGCAGUUGUGUCUUUGGACUGUGGGAGGAAGCUGGAGUACCCGGAGAUAACCCACACAUGCACUGGGAGAACAUGCAGACUCCAUACAGAAAAACCAUCUUGCUGCAAGGCAACAUCACUAACACUUCAAAAAAAUUAUUUGUGCUACAUAAAGAAAUGUGCAUUUAUUAUUAUGAACCCGUAGUUUUUGCUUUAGAAACCUUUUAGAACCCUGUUUAAGGAGUCAGUUUUCUCCUUCCUGUUGCUCAACCACACUUUCACUGUAGUUUUAUCUUCAAACAAUGCAUGAGGUCUACUCAUCUGGUAUGUAGAGUGAAAUUCACCUCAUUUAGGUUGAGAUCAGCAGACUCACUUGGCUGUAGCUAAAAUAUUUCUACAAUUCAUAUGCAAUAUAAUCUCCUUGGUUGCAGAGCUUUUACUUAUGAAAUGUUUUUCUUUACUAGCAGCAUGUAACUCAGCGCGCCAGCAGGUAUUUAUUUCCUCCCAGAAUGUAUUAAAUUUUCUUUGUCCUUUGGUUACUCAGUGUCUGUUCUCCUACCUUGCAAUUACAACAUUCCCUGCUAUGAAAAUA